GACGAACGCUGGCGGCGUGCCUAACACAUGCAAGUCGAACGGAAGUAAGUGCUUCGGUAUUUACUUUAGUGGCGAACGGGUGAGUAACGCGUGAGGAACCUGCCUUUCAGUGGGGGACAACAGUUGGAAACGACUGCUAAUACCGCAUGACGCUUCUUAGGGGCAUCCCUGAGAAGUCAAAGCUUUAUGUGCUGAAAGAUGGCCUCGCGUCUGAUUAGCUAGUUGGUGGGGUAACGCCCACCAAGGCGACGAUGGAUAGGGGUUCUGAGAGGAAGGUCCCCCACAUUGGUACUGAGACACGGACCAA
This 307-nucleotide ribosomal RNA is filed under the name uncultured bacterium. Its description in RNAcentral is "bacterial SSU rRNA". It matches the Rfam family "Bacterial small subunit ribosomal RNA", at positions 28 to 334 of the family's 1533-position model. The record is from RNAcentral.